GAUGAACGCUGGCGGCGUGCCUAAUACAUGCAAGUCGAGCGAACGGACGAGAAGCUUGCUUCUCUGAUGUUAGCGGCGGACGGGUGAGUAACACGUGGAUAACCUACCUAUAAGACUGGUAUAACUUCGGGAAACCGUAGCUAAUACCGGAUAAUAUUUUGAACCGCAUGGUUCAAAAGUGAAAGACGGUCUUGCUGUCACUUAUAGAUGGAUCCGCGCUGCAUUAGCUAGUUGGUAAGGUACCGGCUUACCAAGGCAACGAUGCAUAGCCGACCGGAGAGGGUGAUCGGCCGCAUUGGAACUGAGACACGGUCCAGACUCCUACGGGAGGCAGCAGUAGGGAAUCUGCCGCAAUGGGCGAAAGCAUGACGGAGCAACGCCGCGUGAGUGAUGAAGGUCUUCGGAUCGGAAAACUCUGUUAUUAGGGAAGAACAGAUGUGUAAGUAACUGUGCACAUCUUGACGGUACCUAAUCAGAAAGCCCCGGCUAACUACGUG
RNAcentral lists this ribosomal RNA (497 nucleotides) under uncultured bacterium. RNAcentral's name for it is "partial 16S ribosomal RNA". It matches the Rfam family "Bacterial small subunit ribosomal RNA", at positions 28 to 507 of the family's 1533-position model. The record is from RNAcentral.